GCACUGAGUCCCUGCUCUGUCCUGUCUGUCACCGCCAGACGUCAGACGCUGAUCUCCUGGGGGUCCGUACCAACAAAGACGCAGGCGUGUAGGGCAAUGACGGCAGGGACUGCCUGUGCUUCCGGCGGAGAAUCGUGCAGUUCCGGUAGGGAUACAGUGCAGUUCCGGUGAAGGCGCCGCAGUUCCGGUGGAAUGUCUUACAGGCAGAAAUCAACUCUGCCCAAGGAGGAGGUGAUGGCUCUGGAGAACAUUCUUUAUUGAUGGAACAGCCUCUUUUUCAUGUGCAAGAGUGACAUCCACCAAAGCAUUCAGCAGAAGCCCUUCUCUGGACCCUGAGUUAUAUCCUGUGGAAUCAUCUUUAAGAACAAGAGUGCUGAGUCCCCACUAGGACCUCUGAAGUCCAUUCUGGAGAGAGUCCAGAGUCUCUGGAGGAUCAGCACCCAGGAUACAAGACUGUGCAAGGGACCUGUGGCUUCAGGGCCAGAGGUGGGACAGCCCACCAUGGCUGCCUGCAGGCCAGAAAGCCAGGGGAGCAGGAGCUGUGCAGUCCAAGAAAGUGAGCUACAGAAGCAGAGGGUCCAGUGAUGCAGCCCUGGUCCCAGUGAAGGCCCAGAAGCACCCAGGCUUGUGCAUGGUCACAUUCAAAAGCCAAACCACCUGUUGUGUGAUGACGGGUGUGGUCAGGUCCCACUUGCUGUUCCUCAGGAGAUGAUCCUCCAAGAAACGUGUGCGCCGACAGCAUGUACCCAGCAAUCAUGCUCUGUUGUAAACAGCAAGGAGGAGUGAGUGAGCUCAAGGUGGCUGUCCUUCCCAUUAGCUUGCAAGAGCAAAGGGGGCUGAGGUGCAGGAAAGAGAAGGAGGAGUGUAUCAAAGCAGCACCUCCCAGACAGAACUUCACGAGCAGGAAUUCCUAAGCCUAAAAACACCGUGAUCCACCAUCCCUGCACUGGAAUCCCCAAGGAAGAUUUAGAAAGAUGGAUGUAGGCACCUCUCCCAUAGUUAAGUGUGUCCAGGGGCUAAUUGUAUCCUCUCGAGUUUUUUAAACGUGAAGUGAUGCUGAUGUAAAGUCAAGAUUGAGAACCACCUUGAUCUGGACUCAGCGAGCCUCUCCUGCAAGGAUCCCUCCCUGGAGUCCAGCCAGAGCUUGCAUUCACACUCGCUGGAAGGCCCCCCUCCGAUGUCACAGGCUCAUGUGAUAGAAGAGCUGCUGGGGACCUGCAAGGUCAGCUGGCUUCACCCUCUCUCAUGAGACAAGUGUGAUUCGACACAAAGAGCACUGGACUUGGGUCCCAAGACUGCACGCUCUUGCUGCUUGUUAAAUGAACUAUGGCUAGUCCUGCUGUUCCUGCCAAUCUCGUUUUCCUAAGUUAUGGAAUGUUUGGGAAGCUUAGUGACCAUUACCAGUACCUAUCUCAGCUCCAGGCCUGUGGCAGUGUUUAUAGGCCAGUACAUAUUGUUGUCUUUGUUUCUGUCUGUAGAAAUAAAGCACUGUACCUCUCAGAGGUGAGAUGAGUU
This is a long non-coding RNA of Chinchilla lanigera (long-tailed chinchilla), 1515 nucleotides long. RefSeq lists it as uncharacterized. Lineage: Eukaryota; Metazoa; Chordata; Mammalia; Rodentia; Chinchillidae. The record is from RefSeq and is a predicted model, not a curated record. The transcript is spliced from 5 exons.